ACAGAGGGCUCAAGCGUUAAUCGGAAUCACUGGGCUUAAAGGGUCCGCAGGCGGAUUGGAAAGUAUCUUGUGAAAUACCACGGCUCAACCGUGGAACUGCUCGGUAAACUUCCAAUCUUGAACACGGUAGGGGCCAUCGGAACUCUAGGUGGCGGUGAUGACGUAGAUAUCUAGAGGAACGCCAGAGGCGAAGGCGGAUGGCUGGGCCGUUGUUGACGCUCAGGGACGAAAGCAUGGGUAGCGAACGGGAUUAGAUACCCGGUGUC
This 266-nucleotide ribosomal RNA is filed under the name uncultured bacterium. Its description in RNAcentral is "partial 16S ribosomal RNA". It matches the Rfam family "Bacterial small subunit ribosomal RNA", at positions 525 to 795 of the family's 1533-position model. The record is from RNAcentral.